This 253-nucleotide ribosomal RNA is filed under the name uncultured bacterium. RNAcentral's name for it is "partial 16S ribosomal RNA". It matches the Rfam family "Bacterial small subunit ribosomal RNA", at positions 524 to 776 of the family's 1533-position model. The record is from RNAcentral.
UACGUAGGGGGCGAGCGUUGUCCGGAUUUAUUGGGCGUAAAGAGCGUGUAGGCGGCUUUACAGGUCCGUUGUGAAAACUCGAGGCUCAACUUCGAGCUGUCGGUGGAAACUAUUUGGCUAGAGUCCGGAAGAGGAGAGUGGAAUUCCUGGUGUAGCGGUGAAAUGCGCAGAUAUCAGGAAGAACACCCGUGGCGAAGGCGGCUCUCUGGUACGGAACUGACGCUGAGACGCGAAAGCGUGGGGAGCGAACAGG